CUACUGUGAACUCUGCCACUUCAGGUUUGCAGUCGAGCGCAAACCCAGGCCGUUAGUGGAGGUGCAGCAGAUUUGGGGGAAGAUAAGAAAACACCCCUGUCAGGUCUUCAGGCUUUGCCUUCCUCCUCAUUCUUCAUGGAAUGUAUGUUUCUGUGGCAUGCCUCACCACUGCCCGCCUCCUUUCUUGAAGAGAUAGGAACUCUGGGAGAUUGUUUGGGAUAAAGCGAUUUCUUUGCAAUCCAUCAUUACAGAGUUAGAGGGAUAGAUUUACACUGUGAUGGAUAUGUGAGAAGAAAAAAGUUUAAUUCUUAGAUGUGCCACUUACGAAAAUGUAUAAAGAUCUGUUUGUGAAGAUUGAGGUCAGAUUACAAGAAGAAAAUGAAA
Molecule: small RNA, 384 nt
Filed under: Pongo abelii (Sumatran orangutan)
Lineage: Eukaryota; Metazoa; Chordata; Mammalia; Primates; Hominidae
Description: processed transcript
Source: RNAcentral